UUCGGCUGACGAGAUUUUAAAAACUUGUAAAUUGUUUUAUUUUUGUCGUUUGGUAGCGUAACUUCAGGCCAAGUUAGUCGAAUUAAAUAUAUGAUGAUUGCCCCCUGACUAAUUUAAAAGAAGCCUUUUUUAACAAUAAUUUUUUGAAUGUUUUAAAUAACUUUUAAAUAAUUUUUGAUAUGGCAUGCAUUUACAAUCUGUAAGGUAUUUGCUUGAAAAUGGAUUUAUUGAAAAUUCACAAACUCUUUAUUAAGAAUUGUCAGUAAAGAUUUAUCUCCUUCAUAAUUCAGAUUUUUAUCAGUUGUUGACUGUUCAUAAGUCAAUAAAGAGUAGAGCACGACAUUCCUCAGGAGUCAAGAACAACUAGGCGGUGAAGUGCCCCAAGAAGUCUUUACUGUCUUAUCAGAUGAGCCUUUAAUUAGAAGUUCACGCCUCCUUUCUAACCGAUAAUGAAAAACUUGCCCAGAAGUGGUGUUUGAACCACGAAUCCUUUGUUUCUGAGGCAAGUGCGUCAUGACUGCUAAAAAAGACUUCGAGAGAAGCAUUGCUGCAAUUUCUUGUUACGAUGAACUGUUAUCAAGUUUUAAGCCUAUAAGUGAAACACAUAUGUUAAUAAAAGAUGACUUUCAUUUUUCAAAAUA
Molecule: non-coding RNA, 641 nt
Organism: Hydra vulgaris (swiftwater hydra)
Lineage: Eukaryota; Metazoa; Cnidaria; Hydrozoa; Anthoathecata; Hydridae
Source: RefSeq, a predicted model, not a curated record